This 500-nucleotide ribosomal RNA is filed under the name uncultured Alphaproteobacteria bacterium. RNAcentral's name for it is "bacterial SSU rRNA". It matches the Rfam family "Bacterial small subunit ribosomal RNA", at positions 8 to 518 of the family's 1533-position model. The record is from RNAcentral. Lineage: Bacteria; Pseudomonadati; Pseudomonadota; Alphaproteobacteria.
AGAGUUUGAUCCUGGCUCAGGAUGAACGCUAGCGGCAGGCCUAAUACAUGCAAGGUGAACGGUAAGCGGGGUAGCAAUAUCACGCCUAGAGUACCGCAAGGGUGCGUAACACGUAUGCAAUCUGCCCUGUACAGGAGAAUAGCUCCCCGAAAGGGGAAUUAAUACUCCGUAAGAUCACACGAAGGCAUCUGAGAGUGAUUAAAACCACGGUGGUACAGGAUGAGCAUGCGGAUGAUUAGCUAGUUGGUAGUGUAACGGCCCACCAAGGCGACGAUCAGUAGCUGGUCUGAGAGGAUGAUCAGCCUCACUGGGACUGAGACACGGCCCAGACUCCUACCGGGAGGCAUCAGUGGGGGAAUAUUGGACCAUGGGCGCAAGCAUGAUCCAGCCAUGCCGGCGUGGGUGAUGAAGGCCCUAGGGGUGUAAAGCCCUUUCCGGCGGGGAACAAAAUGACGGGACCCCCCGAAGAAGCCCCGGGUAACUUGGUGGCAGCGAGCCGC